UACGUAGGGGGCGAGCGUUAUCCGGAUUUACUGGGCGUAAAGCGAGUUAAGGCGGUUGGCAAAGUUGGUUGUGAAAUCUCAGGGCUCAACCCUGAAAUUGCGACCAAUACUGGUCGACUAGAGUGCAGGAGAGGAGGGUGGAAUUCCCGGUGUAGCGGUGAAAUGCGUAGAGAUCGGGAGGAACACCAGAGGCGAAGGCGGCGACCUGGACAGUUACUGACACUCAACUGCGAAAGCGUGGGGAGCAAACAGG
RNAcentral lists this ribosomal RNA (253 nucleotides) under uncultured bacterium. RNAcentral's name for it is "partial 16S ribosomal RNA". It matches the Rfam family "Bacterial small subunit ribosomal RNA", at positions 524 to 776 of the family's 1533-position model. The record is from RNAcentral.